AUCCCUGGGAGUAUCUGGGGUUGGGUCAUCGCUGGUGUGUGUGAGUGUGUGUGUGUGUAUGUGCACGUGUGCGUGUGUGUGCGCUUCUGGCCUCUGCAGCUGAGUCCUGGCCCUCGGGGGGCCUGGCACCUCCUGGGGACAGGCACAAAGCAGCCAUGAUGGAGUCGGGAGCUGGGGGAGGCCCCAUUGCCCCAUGUGGCUGCCCUGAGACUCUGGGGUGCUUGUUAGAAGAGAAAAAAGCCUGGAGCAGGAGCUGGCCAGCCCCAUCCUGGACAUCGAGGACUUGGUCAAGAGCGGAAGCAAGCACAGGGUGUGCCCUUACUACCUGUCCCGGAACCUGAAGCAGCAAGCCGACAUCAUCUUCAUGCCGUACAAUUACUUGUUGGAUGCCAAGAGCCGCAGAGCACACAACAUUGACCUGAAGGGGACAGUCGUGAUCUUUGACGAAGCUCACAACGUGGAGAAGAUGUGUGAAGAAUCGGCAUCCUUUGACCUGACCCCCCAUGACCUGGCUUCAGGACUGGACGUCAUAGACCAGGUGCUGGAGGAGCAGACCAAGGCAGCGCAGCAGGG
Molecule: small RNA, 573 nt
Filed under: Pan troglodytes (chimpanzee)
Lineage: Eukaryota; Metazoa; Chordata; Mammalia; Primates; Hominidae
Description: processed transcript
Source: RNAcentral